RNAcentral lists this ribosomal RNA (338 nucleotides) under uncultured bacterium. Its description in RNAcentral is "bacterial SSU rRNA". It matches the Rfam family "Bacterial small subunit ribosomal RNA", at positions 1 to 334 of the family's 1533-position model. The record is from RNAcentral.
CUAGCGACUUCAGAGUUUGAUCCUGGCUCAGGAUGAACGCUGGCGGCGUGCCUAACACAUUCAAGUCGAACGGUGACGAGGGCUUCGGUCCUCUGAUCAGUGGCGGACGGGUGAGUAACGCGUGAGCAACCUGCCUAUCAAAGCGGGAUAACGUAUGGAAACGUGCGCUAAUACCGCAUAACGCAUUUCGAUCGCAUGUUUGAAAUGCCAAAGGGAAACCGAUGAUAGAUGGGCUCGCGUAUGAUUAGAUAGUUGGUGAGGUAACGGCUCACCAAAUCGACGAUCAUUAGCCGAACUGAGAGGUUGAACGGCCACAUUGGAACUGAGAAACGGUCCAG